GGAUGAAGAACGCAGCAAAAUGCGAUAAGUAAUGUGAAUUGCAGAAUUCAGUGAAUCAUCGAAUCUUUGAACGCACAUUGCGCCCGCCAGUAUUCUGGCGGGCAUGCCUGUUCGAGCGUCAUUUCAACCCUCAAGCACAGCUUGGUGUUGGGACUCGCGUUAAUUCGCGUUCCCCAAAUUGAUUGGCGGUCACGUCGAGCUUCCAUAGCGUAGUAGUAAAACCCUCGUUACUGGUAAUCGUCGCGGCCACGCCGUUAAACCCCAACUUCUGAAUGUUGACCUCGGAUCAGGUAGGAAUACCCGCUGAACUUAAGCAUAUCAAUAAGCGGAGGA
RNAcentral lists this unclassified non-coding RNA (333 nucleotides) under soil metagenome. RNAcentral describes it as "partial contains 5.8S ribosomal RNA, internal transcribed spacer 2, and large subunit ribosomal RNA". The stretch from base 2 to 121 matches the Rfam family "5.8S ribosomal RNA", at positions 35 to 154 of the family's 154-position model. The record is from RNAcentral.